Molecule: ribosomal RNA, 497 nt
Filed under: uncultured bacterium
Lineage: Bacteria
Description: partial 16S ribosomal RNA
Rfam family: Bacterial small subunit ribosomal RNA
Source: RNAcentral
GAUGAACGCUGGCGGCGUGCCUAAUACAUGCAAGUCGAGCGAACAGACGAGGAGCUUGCUCCUCUGACGUUAGCGGCGGACGGGUGAGUAACACGUGGAUAACCUACCUAUAAGACUGGGAUAACUUCGGGAAACCGGAGCUAAUACCGGAUAAUAUAUUGAACCGCAUGGUUCAAUAGUGAAAGACGGUUUUGCUGUCACUUAUAGAUGGAUCCGCGCCGCAUUAGCUAGUUGGUAAGGUAACGGCUUACCAAGGCAACGAUGCGUAGCCGACCUGAGAGGGUGAACGGCCACACUGGAACUGAGACACGGUCCAAACUCCUACGGGAGGCAGCAGUAGGGAAUCUUCCGCAAUGGGCGAAAGCCUGACGGAGCAACGCCGCGUGAGUGAUGAAGGUCUUCGGAUCGGAAAACUCUGUUAUUAGGGAAGAACAAAUGUGUAAGUAACUAUGCACGUCUUGACGGUACCUAAUCAGAAAGCCACGGCUAACUACGUG